UCGCCAGGAAAUGAACUUUUUAAUAAUCCGAGGAGGGAGGAAAGCCCUCGGUCCCCUCGGCUCCGGGGGCGCCCAGCUGGGCCCAGCUCCGCGGACGCGCCCCCGUCACCCCCUCCCAGGCCAGUUCAGGGCAGCGCCAAGGGGGCGCGGGCUCAGGCUGAGGCCUCCUCCUGCCUAGGCGUCUGGCGUCCGUUUGUCUGUCCGAGGCCUCAGCGCAGGUAAAGCGCGGGGCUGGGGGGCGCAGAGCUCCAUUGGGCUGGGAACCAGCGCGUCUCGUGCCCUUGGGGGACCCGCCUGCCCGAGCCGCCUGCUGAGCCUCCCGCUCCCCUCCACGCUGGAGCGCGCGGAGCCCAGUCUGCUCGGAACUCCACUCUACGGGAGCGGAGGCCGGCGCCAGCCCGGGAAGGCGAGCAGGGGGCGGGAGGCCGAGCGCGAGGCCCUUGGCGCCGGGCCUCCGCGGCCAGGCCGGGCAGGUGAGCAGUCUCCGUGCCUCUCGGUUCGCGCUCCCCUCAACGCGUGCGGUCCCGCCGGGGCCCACUGUCUCUCCGUCCGUCUGUCUCUCGACUUCUCCCAUCCUUUAGCUUACGAUUCUUCAUCAACUCGUAAAAUGAGAUCGCCGCGGAGCUCGAGCCUAUUUGGCGUCUCCGGAGACUAGCAAGACCCUCUGAAAGACACCGCGUCCCCAGGGAUAAUCGCCCGUGUCCGGCAAAGCUGCCCCGCUCGAGCGCGAACCCUGGGACCCAGCGCGGGAGGCAGACCAGCAGCUGGCGGCUGGGCUGUGAACGCCAGGACCGAGCGGAAGCUUCCAGCCCGGCCGCGAUCGGUGCCGCGGCUCUCAGGGAAAUGGCUACGCGCGGCCCUCGGGAAAGCAGAUUAUCGGAGCCCUUUCAGAGAGCGCACAACAAAUGCGCCCGCCAUCGAAUGCAUCAUUUACCACCGCAGAUCCGCGCGCUGAUGGGCAGGCAGAUAGCCGUCCGCUGGGGGCACGCGGGCUCCCCGUGCCCGUACCACCCGCCUGCCUGCCGGGGCCACUGAGUGUGCGCCCCGGUGUGCCCGGCGUGUUUGGAUGGACACGUGGGUGUCCCAGUGCAUGGGCUAACGCCGAUGCAAGUGUGCGGGUGUGUCAAACAAGUGUACCACAAAAAAGUGCAAGUGUGCAAGCCCAUCCAUGCACACGCAUGGCAGGCGUCUGCUGAGUGCCCGGAGGCGGCCGAUGAGGCGGUUGGAGGGUCCACACAGGAGGCGGUGCUGCACUAAGCUUGUGGGCAGGCAUGCGGCCCAGGGUGGCUGGACACGUGGUGGAGAAAUGGGAUUGCAAGCCCGCGUGUCCGAGUGCAGCGGAUGAGCAUCCUGCGAGUGCCUCACUGUGUCUGCCCAGGAGGUGGCUGUUUAGGGGAGCACGCCAGAGGCCACUAGGGUGGAUGUGCUGUGUGCAUGCAAGUGCCCACCCUACGUUGUGUUUCGGGGCACACAAGCUUCCUGUGCCUACCGGGAUGAGCGUGCAAGUGUCACCGCUCCCGCCGGGCGUGCCUUUGGAGUGUGCUCCGGUCUGCGUGAGGCUGUGUGUGUCCUGCCGUAUCUCUGCCCAGGUGUGCCCAGGUGAGCUGCGAGAGGGGCACGGGGAAGGGCAGUCGUCGGGGCCUGUCCGUGUGCCAGCGUGGGUGAACUCCGGGCUGGGGAAGCUACAGGGAAUGGUGUGUGCGGGUGUGACAGACGCCAGAGCGGCGGGGUGGAACGUGCUGUGUCACGGGAGACUUUCUUGACCAAAACGGAAUGUGCGAGUGUGGAAGGAAGAGGGGCCCUCCGCGGAGUUUGGGGACACCCGGGCGUCCAAGCCCCAGAGCCUCUGCAGCUGGGACGAGGAAGCCCGAGCCCGCCGCCUGAGGUCCCCGCGCCGUGAGUGACACGCGCCACCGACAAAGGCUGUAUUUUUCCAGGCUCGCGCCCCGCCCGCGCGCGCGCGCGAUGGUCCCCAUGGCGACGCAGAUAGCGCUGCAGCCAUUUUCCCUAUCUCCCCGGAGUCUAUUAUACGGCGGGAUUAGCUCAUCUCCAGGCAGGUCAAACCCAAAGUCACACAACCUGCGACGCGGGCCCCGCCCCCACUCCCCGGCCGCCCCUCCCCCGCCCCGGCCGCGGCCCGGGCCCCAGCCCGGCGACCCCCGGCCGCUGCCCAAGCGCAGGCGCAGAGCGCCACCUGGCGGCGGCGGGGUCUCGGGUGGGGUCCGCGGAGCCGGCGCCCGUGCAGAAGAGGUGGGGUGAGGGUCUCUACCUCCAGAAGGCGGGCUCUCCGGGAGCAGGGGCUUUGCUUUGUCACUGCUGUUCCCCAGGGCCAGACUAACACACAGUAGGUGCUCCAUCAGUGUUUCUUGAAAGGAUGUUUGGAGGGAUGGAUGGAUGGAUGGAUGGAUGGGCAGGAAAUUAUAGACUGGGGCAAACUGCCAAAGGCUACAGUUUAGUUGGCAGCAAAAAAAUCGUUUCUGAGAGUGCAUCCCACUGAAUUUAGAAUAAAAGCCAAACUCUUAGAACCUAUGUAGUGGCCCUUACUGACCUUUCAGACCUGAUUUCCUUCUUCCUCACUGCAGCCACAGUGACUCUCUUCUUGUUCCAGAGUGUUCCCACCCCAGGGCCUUUGAGUCUACUGUCCCCUCCACCCCGAAUGCAUUCUGCCUCCACUCAAGUGUCACUCUCCGAGAGCCAAGUUGCUCCCCUGUCCCCCGCUCUUCUCUGUCUAUGCAUUUCUUUUAUAGUGCUUAACACAGUCUGAAAUAGUCUCGCCCCUGUGAGCAUGUUGUCUGACUCCCCGUCUAGAAUGCCAGGAUCCUUGGAGGUGGGGGCGGGGGGGUCUGUUUUGCUUGUGGCUACAGCUCAGCCGCCGGAAUCAUAUCUGACAAUUGGUUGGCAUCAGUCGCAACUCUGGGAAUGAGGGAAUGAGGACUAGAGGGGGCUGGAUGGGCCCAGCCACCUGUCUUCAUCAUUGUCAUUUCUCUUUAUCACUACGGUAACUCCUCCUUCCCCCCAUGACUUUGGAAGUCAUUCAGCAGCCACUCCAGCCCCACCAACCUGCCCCCAUCCCAGAGGGGCCUGGGAUGGAGGGAGAGAACCACUGAGGCCCCUCCACAUCCCUGCACCCGCUGUGCCCAUGGGGGUGGAGAACACUUCUCACCCGGCUCUCAGGGAGCUGUGGCCUCUCUAGGGAGGGCUGGCCUGCUGGUGAGACUUCAUUCAUAAUACAAGAUAAUUAUAUCAGAGUUGUCAUGAGGCGGUGAUGUUUAAUUGCUGUGCGUGGGGCACGGACGGACAGCGAGGUAUAGAGAGUGGAGAGAACGCCGCAGCCCAACUGGGCUUCCAGAUGGGAGCUCAGCCUGCCCAUCUCUGCCGUGGAAGGGACUCAGAGGUGUCAGGCCAAGCAUGCAGGCAGGCUUGUGACAAACUCCUUGGCCAGGAGCUCUGAGAAUUAGCUUCACUUCCCUCAGCCUCCUGGAAGAGGAGCUGUGUGACAGCUCAGGCCAGGGAGUCAGGACUCCCCCCAUCUCCUCUGCACACACAUACCCCUACCAGCUGGGUGGCUGUACGCAAGUCAUUUUUCUACUCUGAGCCUCAGGGUCUUCCUCUGUCCACCUCCCCCCAGGAUUACUGGCAGAAUUAUGUGUGAGCAUACAUUUAAAAAGAGGUUUGUUUUGUAAACCCAGGCUUUGCAAAUUGGCAGCCCACGUCUCAGGGGUCUGUGCAGUGACUGAUCAUUACCAACAUUUCAAAGUGACAGAUUUCACAUAAAGAGCGUCAUUUUGAGCUUCUCUUGAAAAGUUGUAAGAUGAGCUACCCUGGAACUGUAUUCCUGAAUGGCAAUGUAAUGGCAGAGUCCUGCAGUAUUACCACCUGUGGACUUGUGCACCGGGGUUCCCAACCACCCACUUCAGGCCCUUGGGUCAGGGAUGUGCCCCUCAUGGAAAUACCAGGUGCUGUGGCUCUGCUGGUUUUGGCUUUCCUUCUCUGUAACCUUCCAAUAUCUUUCUCCUUCCAGGUACUGUAAACCACUUAGUAAUUAAUUAGUUAAUAAAUUCAUCUCAUCAGCACUUUUAAAUAAUGUGCUAGGCCACACUGUCAUGGACCCCAGAUAUACAGCAGCAAACAAAGCAGCCAUGGUACCUUCCCUCAGGGAGCAGUCAGUCCAGUGGAGGAGUCAGAUAUGACUCACCACACAGAUCGAAAAAUCUCCACAAAUUAUGAGAAGAAUGCUGAGAGAAGAAAGAACAUAGAUGGACUUCUGCUGAGUCCAGGCUUACUUGCAGAGAUCUAUGCUGGCCAGGCCCUAUGCUAGGCAGCGGAGGACAUGGAAUAAAAUCAAAUAAGGUCACUGUGUGCAGGCAACUCACGGUGUGGUAAAGGAGCAACCCCAUCAACAGGUUCUAUUAAUUCCAGCCUGUGAGAAUAGGAACCACAGGGUGAAUUUUGGAGGACAGGCACUUACACUAAUCUGGAAGCAUAAUAUAUAAAGAGUACCUACAAAUCAAUAAAAAAAAUUAAAAAAAGCAAAGUAUAUGAACAGAAAAUUCAAUGAAAAGGAAAUAGAAAUGGCUCUUAAAUGAAUGAAAACAUACUCUCACUCAGAGAAAUGAAAAUUUAACCCAUGUCAAGAUACUUGGGGUGAAGGAAGUGUUUUAAAAUUAGAUUGUGGUGAUGGUUAUAACCCUAUAAAUUUACUAAAACUUAUUGAAGUGUACCUUUAAAACAAAUGAACUUUAUAGUAUGUCAGUUAUAUCACAAUAAGACUGUUUUAAAAAUAAAAACACUUUGAGAUACCAUUUUAUACCUGUUGGUAUUAGCAAAUGUCAAAAUAGAUAAUGCAUUAUGUUCCUAAGGGCAUGGGGGAGACAGCCUGGGGCAAGUGUCCACUGAUGCAUUCUCGGUUGGGGUGGGCAACAGGACGCUGUCAAACGUACAAAUACAUUUACCCUUUGAGCUGGGAAUUCCACUCAUAGGACUUUAUCUGAUAUAUAUGCUUUACAUCUGUAAAAUGUAUAAGGAAAGUCACCACAGCCUCAUAGAUUAUGGCAAAAGUUUGGAAACAAAAGAUGUUUGUCUACAGGUGAAAAGUUAUGCCACUGUCAAAAAAAAAAAAAAAAAACAGAGAGAGAGAGAAAGGAUGAGAAAAAGGAAAGAAUAGCUCUUUGCAUACUGAUACGGCAUUAUCCCAAGAUAGAAUUUGUGUGAAAAUAAAGGUGCAGUACAGUGAUGACAGUGAUGUGUUACCACUUGAUUAAGAACUGGGGUAAGGAGAGAAAAUAUAUACAUUUGCUUACAUAUUUACAGAAUUUCUCUGGAUGGAAAACAAAAGAAGCUGUUAACAAUGGUUGACAUCUACCUGGGUUUGGGACCUGGGUUUGGGUGGCUGGGGACAGGGAUAGGAGAAAGAUUUUCACGGUGUACCCUUUGAUUCCUGUUGAAAUUACAUAGACUGAUAGAUGAUAGAUAGAUAGAUAGAUAGAUAGAUAGAUAGAUAGAUAGAUAGAUGAUAGAUAGAUAGAUAGAUAGAGAGAUAUAUACACAGACACAGAUACAUACACACACACACACAUAUAUAUAUAUCCUAUAUAGGAAAACGAGAUUAAAAUGCAAAAUGAAAACUUUUUGACUGCAAAGUAAAGAUGGAAAAAAGUUUGCCAGGAAGAAAAGCUGGGGGAAAAUUCCAGCCGCUGGCUAAAACAUAAAGAAACAAGAAUUCCCUUGCCCUAUUACCAGGAAUGUAAAUUGUUCCAACUAUUUUGCAGAGUAAUUUGGCUGUUUCUGGCAAAUCUGAAGAUUGGAAUGCCACACGGCCCAGCCAUUCCUCUUCCAGGCAUAUGAGAAGCCCUCACACAUGAGCAAGAAAGGGAUGUGGCCAAAGACAUUCAUGAAGCCCUAUUUGUUAAAACAGAAAAAAAGAAAUUAAGAAAUACCCAGCCUGGGCAGCAUAGGGAGACCCUGUCUCCACUAAAAAUAAAAAUUUAAAAAACUAGCCGGGCAUGGUGAUACACACCUGUGGUCCCAGCUACUUGGGAGGCUAAGGCAGGAGGAUCACUUGAGCUCAGAAGAUCGAAGCUUGCAAUCAGCUGUGAUCGUGUCACUGCAUGCCAGCCUGGGUGACAGAGAGUGAGACCCUGUAUCAAUAAAGAAAGAAAGAAAAGAAACAGAAAUAAACUUAGGACACAGCAGACGGCCCAUCCUGAGGGUACCAGAUAGCAGAUGCUGGGACCUUUUUCAGGUGGACGCCACAUGACCUUUCCUUUGCAGGCAUCCAAGCUGAUGUUCACAAGGCACACAGCAUUUCAGCUGAAGAAAGAACUGGCAGGAUUUUCAUCACGAAAGGGCACUAUCUAUCGUUUAUGAAAAUGAAGCAUAUGAAGUAAAAGUGUGGAAACAGAUGGAAUUAAAUCUUCUGACAGAUUUUAAAAUAAGAUCUAAAAAAGAGCAAGACAUGCUCUUGGAUGGGGAAACAAUACCAGAAAAAUGUCCAUUUUCGCAUUUUUUCCAUAUAAAUUUAAUGUAAUUCAAAUUUCAUUACCAACAGGGUGAUUUUUUUAAAAACUAGAUAAAAUGACCUCAAAGAUUAUGCAGAAGAAUAAAUGCCCAAAAAUUACCAGGGAAGACUGGAAAAAAGACUGCUGUGGGGGUUUUGCCUUCCUGGAAAUAAGAUCAUACUACAAAGUCACUGUAAUCAGAUCAAUAUGGCAUUGGCAGAGGACUAGACAAUGGAAAGGAAUGGAGAAUACAAAAAUAAAUUUCAGGAUAUAUGAGAAUGAGAUAUAUGCCAAAGGUAGUAUUUUGAUUCAGUGGGAGAAGGGCAGACUGUGAAGUAAGUGGUACCAGCCACAACUGAAUAUCCAUCUGGGAUAAAAUAAAAUUGCACUCCUCUUAGAGAUCCAAAUCAACUUCAGAUGGAUUAAAACUUUGAAUGUAAAAAAUAUAAAUGACUAACAGUCCUGCAAAAAAUCUUGGAGACAACCUGUGCCAUCUGGAGAGUGGGAAGAGCACGUGCAAAGGCCAAGGGGUGGAGCAGCCCAGCAUGUUCUGGAAAAGAACCUGACCACUUCCCGCCUCAACAAGCAGCCGGCCUGGUCCUAGCUACCGGUGUCUCUCGCCUGGACUACUGGAAUAGCCUCCUUGCUGGAAGUCCUCAACUUCCCCACUGUUUGUUCAUAGUACAGUGGCCGGCGGGGGCCCGUGAAGAUAGAAGUCAGGCCAGGCACAGUGGCUCACGCCUGUAGCCCCAGCACUUCAAGAGGCCAAGGUGGGUGGAUUGCUUGAGCCCAGGAGUUCAAGACCAGCCUAGGCAACACAGCUAAACCCCAUCUCUACAGAAGAUACAAAAGUUAGCUAGGCGCAGUGGUGCAUGCCUGUAGUCCCAGCUACUUGGGAGGCUGAGGCAGGAGGAUCACCUGAACCCGGAAGGUCAUGGCUUCAGUGAGGCUGAUUGCGUCACUGCACUCCAUCCUGGGCAACAGAGUGAGACCCUGUCUCAAAAAAAACAAAAACAAAAACAAAAAAAGAUGUAAGUCAAACCUGUCCUGUCUGUGCCACACCCUCCCGCAGCACCCGGG
This is a long non-coding RNA of Pongo pygmaeus (Bornean orangutan), 7577 nucleotides long. RefSeq lists it as uncharacterized. The record is from RefSeq and is a predicted model, not a curated record. The transcript has 3 exons. NCBI's taxonomy places the organism in Eukaryota, Metazoa, Chordata, Mammalia, Primates, Hominidae.